Molecule: long non-coding RNA, 722 nt
Organism: Paramacrobiotus metropolitanus
Lineage: Eukaryota; Metazoa; Tardigrada; Eutardigrada; Parachela; Macrobiotidae
Exons: 3
Source: RefSeq, a predicted model, not a curated record
CGUUUCCGUGCAUUUCACAGUCAGUGGUGAGCUUUUAGUAACAUCUUUCGUCGUCGUAGUGCUAUUAAAUUCUGCAUGCUUUUUUAGAUGAACCGCUCGAGACUCACUACUCGCUAUUGUGUCGAGUACUCUAUACCAUAAGUAAUUUUUGUAUAUGCAGUUUUUUCACUUUAAACUUACUUCGAAACGCCAGUUUAGAAUUAGUAUCAAAAUUAUGGAAUUUUUUGGAAAGUGUUUUCUACUUUUUACUGCCGCAGCUGUUUUUCUCAUGCAAUCCCAUAUCGCUGCAGGGCAAAUGGUUCUCUUCCCUUUGUCUCCGCUCAUUUCCGUACCUGGAAUUGGAUUGCCUCUGUCAUAUGCUAGGGUUUACCGACGACCUUUCUGCCGGUGGAUGAACGGAAACUGUUUAUGGCGUGGGCUCCAAAGCUCCAAAGUCGCUGCGUGGAUGAUGUUGCUUGUGGAUGGCAUCACUACUGCUGCUUUGACGGAUGUAGUAAUGUCUGCAAACGUCGUUUUUUAUUUAAAUAGUUAUAUUUGUAGAUGUAUCGCCACAACAAACUCUAUCAUGAAGCAACGAUAAAUCAGUUUUGCUAAAACGCGUAUUCGCCGCGUACUCUUUUACUGGGCGCAGCACAACUCGAUGAUGACUCGCGUUGCUUUUGAUUUACUGUAAAUAUCUCUUAAAUUUCUCUGUUAUUCUGUAAUUCAGAUAAAGACCCAAA